AAACAAAAGGCACAUCUACACCAAACCAAUUCGCAUAUUCGGCCAAAAGAUGCCCACAGCUGUUAGACACAGCAUUUGAUGCUUUCUCCGUCAUGCCUUUUAUUUUUUCUCCCACAUGCGCGUGCCUGCACACGCGCGCACACGUCCCCCACGCAGCCUGCCGCGUGCACCCGCAGACCUGCUUGCCAAUGCACAGCAGUGGAGACCCGGACAGUGCGAGUGGCUGCCGGUGAACGCUGCCUGGCGUCUCUACUGCUCCGCUGGAUGUUUGCGCAGAGGACAGCUGCCUGCGCCGCCGACUGCGCCGAUCCGACCGCCGCAAAACACACCUUGUGUCCACCUCUUAACUUUUCCAACGAGUGACGGUCUUUUUUUUUUUGCUUUUUUUUUUUUUCUUGUUUCUCACAUUUAUAUUUUUUGCAGCACGCACCUGUUUGAAGAUUCUGCUUGCAUCUUCAGAGGAAGCCCGCGCAGCCGUGCGUUUUGGCAUCCAACUUGGCGCUUGAUGGAUAUUUGUGUGUGACUGGUCUGGAAACUCGAGGAGCAUGGACGCGAACUUUAAAAGCUUGUUCCUCUUUUUCAACAUCACCUAGAGACAGUGUUCUUCAUUAAAUGAAGGCAGGUGAAUCACCCCUCGCGUGAGAGGCGCGCAGAGCUCAGGGGCUCUCCAGGUACGGACGGAAAGGAGAGACGACGCGGUGGAAGUCGUGAUCUGUGAGGCGGAUUGCGCCACGGAGGACAGGGAGAGGGGGGUGGGUGGAGCGGACCGAUGAGACAAUAUGGGUCUGUUGCUGUGUUAUGGAAGACUGAAACACCUCCUUUUCCCUCUUCUCCUUCUCUUGCGGGCUCCCCUGUUGUUCAGCUUUGGUGAACGCACUUGUCCCAAUAGCUGCCGAUGUGAGGGAAAAACGGUCCAUUGUGAUUCAGCUGGCUUCUUAGAUGUCCCAGAAAACAUCUCGGUGGGCUGCCAAGGCCUCUCUCUGCGCUACAAUGAACUGCAUACCCUUCUGCCAUAUCAAUUUGCUCACCUCGGCCAGCUUCUCUGGAUAUACUUGGACCAUAAUCAGAUUUCAUCUGUUGACAGUCGAGCAUUCCAGGGGGUCCGCAGGCUUAAGGAGCUUAUACUGAGCUCCAAUAGAAUCUCAUCCCUUCACAACUCAACAUUCCAUGGAAUUCCCAAUCUUCGCAGCCUGGACUUGUCCUACAACAAAUUGGAAAUCCUCCAACCAGGUCAAUUCCACGGCUUGCGAAAAUUGCAGAACCUGCACCUCCGCUCAAAUGGUCUCUCUAACAUCCCAAUUCGAGCCUUCCUGGAGUGCCGCAGUUUGGAAUUUCUGGAUUUGGGCUACAAUAGAAUCAAGGCUCUUACCCGCACUACCUUUUUGGGACUGCAAAAGCUGAUGGAAUUGCAUCUAGAGCACAACCAGUUCUCACGGAUCAACUUUUUUCUGUUUCCACGCUUAGCCAAUCUAAGAUCACUCUAUCUGCAGUGGAACCGCAUCAGGGUGGUCAACCAGGGCCUUCCAUGGACUUGGUAUACGCUGCAGAAACUUGAUCUGUCUGGAAAUGAAAUCCAGACCCUGGACCCAGCUGUGUUUCACUGCUUGCCCAACCUUCAAGUCCUAAACCUAGAAUCCAAUAAGCUGUCCAAUGUGUCCCAGGAGGCGGUGUCAGCUUGGAUCUCACUGACCACCAUCAGUCUAGCAGGAAACAUGUGGGAUUGUGGAACUGGAAUAUGCCCCCUUGUGGCUUGGUUGAGGAAUUUCCGGGGUAGUAAAGACACCACUAUGAUAUGCAGCAGCCCAAAGAACCUUCAAGGAGAAAAAAUUAUGGAAGCUACAAGGAAUCAUGGUAUUUGUGAGGAAACUGAUUACGUUCUGACUGAAACACCUUCACCAAUGUCAGAUCUCAUUUCUGAAGCCACUGGUGAACCAACCUUUGCCCCCACUAGCGGCUCUCCACCUAUGCCACCAGCCAACACAUUCGGUCCUGUCCCGCCCUUCAGACCUCGGCCGAUUCCUCAUCCUACGCUUCCUGGUCAUUUGAGCAAAGACCCGAGAGACUCAGUCACUCAAACUAGACCCACUCCUAUACCACCCCCAGAGAUGGAGCACAUGACUCUGCACAAAGUGGUGGUGGGCAGUGUGGCACUCUUCUUUACCAUGUCCCUAAUCUUGACAGUUAUCUAUGUGUUCUGGCGCCGCUAUCCAGGUGCAACCAGAUUACUGCAGCAGCAAUCCAUGGUGGGACGGAAGCGUCGCAAAAGGAGUCCAGAACCAGAGCAGAACUUGAGCUCCCAGCUCCAAGAGUAUUACAUGAGCUACAACCCUGCUGCCACACCAGAGGCAUUGGAGGUGCUAGGCAAUGGCACUGGUUCCUGCACAUGCACAAUUUCUGGCUCCAGGGAGUGUGAGGUAUGAUUCAUCGCCUCAGCCCUAAAAAUAAAAAAGCAAAAUCAAAAUACAAAGGCUCAACAGAGAGAAUGAGUACACGUGCCCACGCCCCCUACCUGGUGCCUGGCUGGGAGACAUGCCUACCAUCCAUUAAUCCCUAAAAGGGGACUGCUUUGGAUUUGGUGCAGCAAAAUACACAGAUGCAAGGAGAGACAUUACGCAGAGAACCCAUCAACCCCAUUCAAGGAUACAUUUAAAAAAGGUCCUCUAUGCUAAGGGCCUCCACUGACUAAGACAAACAGGGGACAAUGCAGUCGUUUUGUUUUUCUUAAGAUUUUAUAAUGUCUUCUUUUACUACCUGUGCUCUUUGGUCAUAUCUGCUUUGCUGCAUUAACUCCCGCUUCACAAAAACACUGACCGGACGGUUGUGAACGAGCAUUCCUGUGGUGGACAGCAGAGGCUUGGCAGAAGACUCUGGGGCACUACUGGAGGGUUAUAACAUUGGAGCUUAUUGUAUGGACGCUAAUAGCUUAUUGUCUCCACAAGGACAAUGAGGCGUUGUGUUAAUGAGAGGCAUGAAUCUGUUCAAGAGGCUUUAAACUGAGCAAUGAAUCACGUAUGAAAAUGCACUGAAGAGGUGGCUCUGACUGCUCCGCUAACACAGCUUUGUAUCAUUUAAAGUGGGUUUACUUAUUUUAAUUUUGUAUUGAGCCUCAUGUUAUGACCUUAUAAUACUUAUUUUUUGUAAGAAAGACUAAUCAAAGGCUACGAUGGUGUAAAUGUGCCUCACUGGAGCAGAAACAUUUUGAAAGUGCACCUUUCAGCUUUGACCAAUCUGCUCCAUCGGGUGGAAAUAAAGGCAGCAGCCGUCCGAUAGUUUGACACUCGUGAAAAGUUGCCAGACAGGAAAGCAAACUAUCUCCCAAGCUGAUGACCUUUGGUAAAAGAUUUUUGUUUGAUUGUUUGCUUUUUUAAAGAAAUGAAGAAAAAAAAGACAUUCCAAGUUGUUUCUAAUUGCAAUCAAACCUCAACUGCUUAGUUUGAUUUUGUGGACAGUAAGGCAAUCAGAAGCAAAGGAGGGAAAAAAGAAAAAGCCCCUAUCAAGUGUAAAAUGUAAUUUUUCUGGAAUUAUAAUGUUGUUAAUGUUGUACUUUAUGAAUAUGUGUUUCUGCCAUUUUCAACACCGAAUACUAAAGAGCCAAUUGGAGCAUUCGGGGCUCUCCUAAGCAGGAGUUACUAUCUUAAAGAAAUCCACGACGAGUCAAAAGAAGCCUCAGUUUCCCUUCACGGGCAGCGCUGCUCUUUUACCCAAUUGUUGUUUUUUACAAGUGUGUAAUGUGAACGUCUCUGUGAACAAGAUCUCGCUACGGCCGUCAUCUUUCAGAGGAUCUUAUCUGAAAGAUAAUCUCGAGCACUGUUUACAUUUUACGACUUAUGUUCAAUACAUGUUUCACUUUCCUUGAACAAAUCCACCAAUCUCUCCCUUCAAAGACACUCCAGAUGUUGCUGUACACGGCUCCCUUGUGUUUCAUCCGUUAUGAGUUCUGAAUUAAGUUUUGAGACGCACCGAGUUGUUUGUUUCAACCUUCAAACAUAAUCUUUCUACACUUGAAAAUGAUGAUUUUCUAUUGUACAUUUCUCUUCUUCCCCCUUAAACUUGUUGAUAUUUAGUAUGCAGACGUAUUUGUUCACUUUCAAGAGUAUGUUUUAUAAUGAGAAUAAUGACAUUUUAUUGGUGAGCAAAUUGAGAUGGUCAAAUUAAAAUAUUCAUUAAUCAUU
Molecule: RNA transcript, 4172 nt
Organism: Gasterosteus aculeatus aculeatus (three-spined stickleback)
Lineage: Eukaryota; Metazoa; Chordata; Actinopteri; Perciformes; Gasterosteidae
Gene name: leucine-rich repeat transmembrane neuronal protein 4
Source: RefSeq, a predicted model, not a curated record